RNAcentral lists this ribosomal RNA (492 nucleotides) under uncultured bacterium. RNAcentral describes it as "partial 16S ribosomal RNA". It matches the Rfam family "Bacterial small subunit ribosomal RNA", at positions 29 to 507 of the family's 1533-position model. The record is from RNAcentral.
AGUGAACGCUGGCGGUAGGCCUAACACAUGCAAGUCGAACGACAGCACAGUAAGAGCUUGCUCUUACGGGUGGCGAGUGGCGGACGGGUGAGGAAUACAUCGGAAUCUACUUUUUCGUGGGGGAUAACGUAGGGAAACUUACGCUAAUACCGCAUACGACCUACGGGUGAAAGCAGGGGAUCUUCGGACCUUGCGCGAUUGAAUGAGCCGAUGUCGGAUUAGCUAGUUGGCGGGGUAAAGGCCCACCAAGGCGACGAUCCGUAGCUGGUCUGAGAGGAUGAUCAGCCACACUGGAACUGAGACACGGUCCAGACUCCUAAGGGAGGCAGCAGUGGGGAAUAUUGGACAAAGGGCGCAAGCCUGAUCCAGCCAUACCGCGUGGGUGAAGAAGGCCUUCGGGUUGUAAAGCCCUUUUGUUGGGAAAGAAAAGCAGCAGGUUAAUACCCCGCUGUUCUGACGGUACCCAAAGAAUAAGCACCGGCUAACUUCGUG